Non-coding RNA from Cajanus cajan (pigeon pea), 220 nucleotides. Lineage: Eukaryota; Viridiplantae; Streptophyta; Magnoliopsida; Fabales; Fabaceae. The record is from RefSeq and is a predicted model, not a curated record.
AAGUUAUGGCACAAAUUUCUUCCAUAUUUCCUGUUUUAAGGAAAACACGUUUCCUUGAUUUUAGGCCAUGAUUCCAUGCAUGGUUUCCUCUUUUUCGCUCCUUGUUUUGUUCCAGGUUUCCUUAUUCUGGGUGCAUACGCUUCUUCUCAAUGCCUAUAUAAGGCAUCAAGCAUUUGGAGCAAAUUGCAAUUGAUUCAGCAAUCUACACACUUGAGAAAAA